UCGAGAUUUUACAGCCAUUCGAGAUUUACAACGAUUCGAGACUUCAAACAUAUUCGCUAUAUCAACAAAACACCUGUAUAAUACCUGUAUCUUUAUUGCUUCCCUUAAAUUUGAUUUCGUCAGCUAUAAUAUUACACCUUCUGUUUGGCGAAAUGGGGUUUCCGUUUUGAAAACAACAGCCUCUAUAAAUUCAACUGGUAAUCCCGCCCCUUAGAAACAUUGUCACUUGACCCUAGAAACGGUCAAGGUUGAACAGCCCAACGCGAACGCAUGUAGUUUUACGGUCAAACGGCAGUGCCGGAUUAACCCAUAGAUAUGUCAUAUCUAUGAAUUAACCAUAUCACAUAUGGCAGAAGCGGCAUAUGCCACGGGCCUCGAAUUUUUUGUUCCCUGCUUUGGCGCGGGGCCCAAACCAAUAUAAUGCACAGCAGGUAUAUACUUCUAGGUUAGUACUUGUCACAGAUGAUACUAUUGCUGGUACUCAUUGUGUCACUUUAUUCAAAUUAUUGAUGUAUAUUUCUCGUUUUUUUGUAAAUGCGCUGGCAACUUUUGGAGUACAAUAUUAUAUUUUUGAAUCUUUCUGAAUUUAGUGUUUAAAAUGCCGUGUGUGUGUGUGUGUGUGUCAAGGGGCCCCGCGCUUAUAACAUGCCAUGGGCCCCUUCUUCCACGAUCCAACUGAUCGCUGUUAUUACCACGGUCACGGCAUCUUCAGUAUUUCAUUAAUAUUUGUUUCUACUCCUUGGAGUCCAUGAAAAGAAACCUGUUACAGCCGAUUCCGUUUUACCGUAUAAAACAUGACCGUUUCUUCGGUCAAAUGACAAUGUUUCUAGUAACGUUGUUUUCAAAACGGAAAGCCCAUUUCGCCAAACAGAAGAUGUAAUACAAAACAACUCACUCACCGAAACAAGUGUAACUAAAUGUUAUCGAUCUUUGGAGUUAAGGCGGUUUUCCAGUCCUCGCACGAAGCUCCUCGCAGCUCGCUGCGAGUGCUUGCAUCUAAUGAAAAUUAACUGUUUUGCAUUGUGAUUGGCUGAAAGUGCUCAUGCAUGCACUCGCAGCGAGGAGCUUUGUGCGAGGACUGGAAAACCGCCUUUACACUUUUUUCGUAUUUUGUUAAAAUACUUAGUGGCUCUUAUAAUUUUUAAUAUUAUAGACGAAAUCAAUUUUAAGGGAGGCAAUAAAGAUACAGGUAUUUUCAUGGGGAGUUUCGUUGAUAUAGCGAAUACGUUUGAAGUCGCGAAUGGUUGUAAAAUCUCGAAUGGUUGUAAAAUCUCGAAUCGUUGUGAAAUCUCGAAUAGCUGUAAAAUCUCAAAUAGCUGUAAAAUCUCGAAUAGCUGUAAAAUCUCGAAUAGCUGAGACAUCUUGAAUGGUUGUAAAAUCUCGAAUGGCUGUAAAAUCUCGAAUACCUGAAAAAUCUCGAAUGGUUGUAAAAUCUCAAUCGCUUUUGGCCGAUUCUCGACAUUAAUUCUGAUUCUCGAAUAUUUUUGGUCCAAACGGCGCGCCAUACAUUUUCACCUUUUUCGCACUUCACUUCCCUAAUUAUUUGCUGUCCGACGCACCUCCCUUAAAAUCGCCAGAGGCUACUCAGCCUACCCUGAACGAGGUAUAUAAAACGCAGCGAAGAGGCAGAGCAAGAAAGAAAAUCAACAUACUCUAGCAAUGUUUGCACGCAAGCAAAACACAUCAAGUGUCCACAUUGAGUUUGUAUGGGCUUGCACAACAACAUGUCACAACUUGUACAGAUGAAUUUCUUAUCGAUUUUCUUGCGAUCUUCAUCCGCAAUUCUUAUCCUUGACAUGAUGGGAACUACAAAAAGAUUUUUAGAAAAAAGAUCCAGUUUGUAAAAAAAGUUCUGAAACCGGUUUAGGGAAACAAAUGGUACGCAUACUCACACAGAGAGCAGAGGAGUUGAGUUUGUCUACUAAAACAAGACAAAUACCGUCUAUUGUUUAAUAUUUAUAUUAACGACUUCCUAAACUAUUUGAACAAGCUCAAUCAGACCCUUUUGUAUUACAAAACGGAACUGCUAUCAACAGUCUCUUAUAUGCAGAUGAUCUAAUUAUACUUUCACGAUCAAAACAUGGUCUAAAAAAUUGUUUGAAUCAGUUACACGAAUGGUGUAGUAAAUGGAUGGAAGUCAACAUCAAGAAAACAAAAGUUAUGAUUUUUCAAAAACACAACUCAAAAUUACCAAACCUCCACUUCCACAUUGGAAAUAAGAAGAUAGAUAUAGUUAAAGAAUAUACCUAUCUUGGCUUAAAACUCGUGCCAAAUAGCAAAUUUAAACUCGCACAACAGCAAUUAAGCGAAAAAGCUUUGCAUGCUCUUUAUAAAAUUCGUAAAAAUCUAGACUUCCACGAACUCUCGCCGAAAACAGCUAUAAAAAUUUUCGAAUCGAUCAUCACUCCCAUUUCUACUAUACAACUCAGAAGUUUGGGGAGCAUAUGAAAAGAAUGAUCUAAAUAAAUGGGAUAACUCAGAUACGGAAAAGGUUCACUUAAGGUUUUGCAAGCUAUAUUUGGGUGUUAACAGAAAGGCAAGCAAUACAGCUUGCAGAACUCGGAAAAUAUCCUCUUCUGAUUACAAUUAAAAAGAAUAUAAUAAAUGAUUUUAAACAUAUUUUUAAACUAGACAACAACUCAAUAGUUAAACAAUCUUUACUAAUGUCUAAACAACCAUAUGAAAUAGGCAGAGAAUCUUUCUAUGCCAACUCAAUAAACAUGCUAAAAGCAUUCUACGAUAAAAUUACAAAUUUUGAAUGUGACGUAAUCAACUACGAUACAAAAACCGUCGUAAAGAAAAUGAAAGACAAAUAUGUUGAAUUCUGGCGACAAAAAAUGAAAAAAUCCUCCAAACUCUCUUUCUUUUGUAAAUUCAAAAAUGAAUACAAAAUGGAAGUAUACUUAUCCCUUAUUCAAAAUCCAACAAUAAGAAGAACAUUUUCCCAAUAUCGCAGAAGCAACCAUAAGUUACAAAUUGAACGAGGAAGAUACGAAAAUAUACCUCGAGAAGAACGUAUCUGUAAACUAUGUGAUUCUGGCGAAGUGGAAAACGAAUUUCAUUUCGCCGUCGCAUGCCAAAAUUACCAACACUUGCGAGAGAACUCAAACAACAUUCUCGAAAAUAUGUUUGAUCUCAAUAUAACAUAAGAAACUAAACAAAAAUUACUUCAACACACGAUGUCAUCGGACGAUCCUGUUUUAGUAAAUUUAUUUUCUAAUUAUUUAUUUCUCUGCACAAAAGAAUGAGAAGAUAGCCUCAAAUCUCUGGUAACCCAAAAUAAUUUAAAAAUAGGUACGCAACGCGUACAUGUAUCUGCGAAAAAACGCGAUUCACAUUUUGCAUUUUCUUGAAAGGAAUUGGAUAAUGAAGAUGACAUGGGACAAUUGAAAUAUUUAAUCACUUAUUAUAAUAAAUAUAAUAGCAAAUAAGACUUUAGCAUACCCCGAUUAUGAUUAUAACGGAUAAUUAUGCAGUCAAGAAAUAAAAAAUUCAUGCAAACAAUAUUUGAAGUGUCUAUACAGCCAACAGCCGGCUAUUUAGUAAACUGUCACUUGUCAAACCAUGCAUUUUCAAAACUUUAUUGUAAUCAGAUGAAGCAAAAGUUGUGUCACUUGUUGUUUACACUUGCCAUAAUGUUAACUGUUGAGUAAUAUACACAAACUAUUCGAGGAACAUGCAUUACUGUAGCAAAGAGUCAAUCAUAUAUUGAAGACCACUGAAUAGAAGAGAAUGUUUUGAAGGUCAUGAAUGAAGUAUAUAUUAAUUCAAUUCCAAUCCUGUGCACAGUUAAUGAUAUACCACACGUCACUGUUCACUUUAGCACAACAUACCCACACAAAAACAAUUUUUGUUGUGGGAGAAUAUCGGUUUGAGUAAAGGUAGCACAACUUUAGUUUUGUACAUUGUGUGCCAUUGAUCUGAUCCAUCCAUAUAAUAUGAUUAUUGUAGCUGUUAAGUUAUUUUUCAUACUAAUGCAAGUGGGUUGUUCUGACAAAAUUAUCUAGCCAAUAUCCAGCUUAUUCAUCAUUCUUGUAUUAAUCUCUAAACAAAAACAUUUAUGUUAGAAAGCAAAAUGACAAUGUAAUGAGGAGGGAGGGUGGGGAUUCUUUUAUUAGAAUUUGAAAAUGUUUGUAAAAAUUUUGUAUACUUUUGAAACUCUAAUAGUCUAAUGUGUAAAACCAAAAUCAAAUGUAUAAGUAUUUUGACUGAUAACAUCUUAACCUUUGCUCAAACACUACAUAUAUUAGAUAACAGCUUACUUGGACUGCUGUUUUGAACAGAGUUACAGAAAUACUGAGAACAUUAGUUUCCUGUGAUAUUGUUCAUUGGCAAUAUUGCCUGCUAUAAUGUAUAGAUAUAGAUAAAAUAUGUGGUAUUUGACUACUUA
RNAcentral lists this long non-coding RNA (4390 nucleotides) under Paramuricea clavata. Lineage: Eukaryota; Metazoa; Cnidaria; Anthozoa; Malacalcyonacea; Plexauridae. The record is from RNAcentral.